This is a long non-coding RNA of Peromyscus eremicus (cactus mouse), 1392 nucleotides long. RefSeq lists it as uncharacterized. The record is from RefSeq and is a predicted model, not a curated record. The transcript is spliced from 2 exons. NCBI's taxonomy places the organism in Eukaryota, Metazoa, Chordata, Mammalia, Rodentia, Cricetidae.
GCAGGAUCCACAAAGAUGGCCUUGAAUAAUACAUUUUAUCUGCUACCGAGACUAUGGAUUUCCUAGUCACACACGUCAUCGUUUCACGCUGUCAUCUCAGAUGAUAUACUACGAACACAAUCAUGACGAGAAGAGAAAACGGAGGCCCAAGAAGCUGCGCUUCUUCUUCGUACUCGCCCAGCAGUGAAACCAAGCCUAGAAGCAUCUGCAGCGCAGCCUUUCUGCGCAGCUGGCCCCUUGGAAGGCUCUGUCCGUCUUUAAUGUGCCAAAGCGUACCUCACUCUUUCUGAAAAGUUCAGUAUGGUAAGCCGACUUCGACAGUUGGAAUGGAAGGGAAAAGGAAGGUGGUUACGCCACAGAAGAGGUAGUGGUUGUGGUGUUGAGCAUGGUACCCAUCAGAUUUCCUAAGGCUGCAACACAGCGGGCCUAUUGGAUCCACCAGAAAAACCAAAGAUUCUUCCACAAGUCGGACGCGCACGCCACCUGGUGUACACUGGAAGUUGUUUCAAAGAGCAUAAUUCCAUAAAUCUUCAAAUUUCCACCCAAGACCCCUUUCUGCGCUCCUAAAGUCACAGUCCCUGUUCGUCUCUGAAGAUCCACGGUCUCUUUAUAGUUAGGAAUCCGUCCAUUUGGGACACUUUGCUUAUGAUCAGUGUUGUUUUAGUCUUUCUGUGAUAUAAUUAAAAAUGUUUUCUUCCAUGAUGACCUUUUAAAGUUUCUAAAUAGCUUUUUCUUUCUGCCUCCCCUUCACCCACAACCAGUGAAAUGUUGCUUUCGCAGGGUUUUUCUUAUUUGGGCUCUUUGAAUCUUUUGUUUGAAGACAGAGUUCCAUGGCAACAAAAGGCUCCUCCCAGUUCCAAGAUUACAAAAUUCCCCUAAACGAUCCUGCUUUUGGUGAACGCCUCGGACUACUUUACUACGGGAAAGAGUUGGAUGGAACUUGCCUGGACGUGUUUAAUUACCGCGUUGUGAAUCACUGCUUUAAGAAUCGCUGUAUCUCCGCUUCUGCCUUUAAGACAUAUUUAUUCUGAGCCAAGCUGAUGCGUUCCUGCUGGGUCCUGCUUUGCUUUCUUGUCCCUAAGCGGGUUGGGGAGUGAGAACAGAAGCUGCCUUUGUUUUUAGCCUGUUAUUUCCAAGGUCAAGGGAGGGAGAACUCCUGGAGGGUGCCGGACUUCAUGAGUUUCCGACCUUAGUGACCUAAGGACUUUCCAGUAUUUCUUCAAAGGAUCCCUGUUUUGUAACAACAACCACACCCUGACUAAAGAACUGCCCUGUGACCUCCCGCUGAUGAGAAGCGUCGUUUAAGUGUAGUUCAAUACACUCACUCCAUCAGCCCAUGUACAGAAAUACAAUACAAAUAAAAUACAAAGACACAAUACAAUACAAAGAAAA